UUAAUACACGUGGUAGGGGAGCAUUCCAUCAUCAGUGAAGGUGCGACAUGAGUCGUGCUGGAGAUUAUGGAAAAGCAAAUGUAGGCAUAAGUAACGAUAAUAAAGGUGAAAAACCUUUACGCCGAUAGUCUAAGGUUUCCUGAUCAAUGUUAAUCAGAUCAGGGUUAGUCGGGUCCUAAGGCGAACCGAUUUAGGAGAGUCGAUGGCAAGCAGGUUAAUAUUCCUGCACCAGUGGAGAGGGACGGAGUGAUGUAGCAGUUACGUACUGACGGAAAUGUACGUUGAGCAUAGCCCUCGGGCGAAGCAAAACUGUGAACUCGCUUCCAAGAAAAGCUCCCACAUUAGCCCGUACCGCAAACCGACACAGGUAGACAAGGAGAGAAUCCUGAGGCGCUCGAGUGAAUCGUGGUUAAGGAACUCGGCAAAUUAACCCUGUAACUUCGGGAUAAGGGGAGCUCAUAUUUAUAUGAGCCGCAGAGAAAUGGUCCAGGCGACUGUUUAGCAAAAACACAUAGAUCUGCUAAAACGAAAGUUGAUGUAUAGGUCUUGACACCUGCCCGGUGCUGGAAGGUUAAGAGGGGGGGUUAGGCGCAAGCCGAAGCUCUGAAUCGAAGCCCCAGUAAACGGCGGCCGUAACUAUAACGGUCCUAAGGUAGCGAAAUUCCUUGUCGGGUAAGUUCCGACCUGCACGAAUGGUGUAACGAUCUGGACGCUGUCUCAACCACGAGCUCGGUGAAAUUGUAGUAUCGGUGAAGAUGCCGGUUAACCGCAACGGGACGGAAAGACCCCAUGCACCUUCACUACAGCUUUGCAUUGGUUUUGGUUAAAUGAUGUGUAGGAUAGGUGGGAGACUUUGAAGCUGCGUCGCUAGGCGUGGUGGAGUCAUUGGUGAAAUACCACCCUUCAUUUAAUUGAAAUCUAAUCCCGCUAAGCGGGAGACAUUGCAUGGUGGGUAGUUUGACUGGGGUGGUCGCCUCCGAAAUUGUAUCGGAGGCUUUCAAAGGUAUCUUCAGCACGGUCGGUAAUCGUGCGUAGAGUGCAAUAGCAUAAAGAUGCUUGACUGUGAGACGUACAUGUCGAACAGGGUCGAAAGACGGAUAUAGUGAUCCGGUGGUUCUGAAUGGAAGGGCCAUCGCUCAUAGGAUAAAAGGUACGCUGGGGAUAACAGGCUGAUCUCCCCCAAGAGCUCACAUCGACGGGGAGGUUUGGCACCUCGAUGUCGGCUCGUCACAUCCUGGGGCUGGAGAAGGUCCCAAGGGUUGGGCUGUUCGCCCAUUAAAGUGGCACGCGAGCUGGUUCAGAACGUCGUGAGACAGUUCGGUCCCUAUCUGUUGUGGUCGUUUGAAAAUUGAGAGGAUCUGACCUUAGUACGAGAGGACCGGGUUGGACAUACCUCUGGUGCAUCUGUUGUAGUGCCAACUGCACCGCAGAGUAGCUAAGUAUGGAUUAGAUAAGCGCUGAAAGCAUCUAAGCGCGAAACUAGCCUCAAGAUGAGUUUUCAUUGAAGGUCGUCAGAGAUUAUGACGUUGAUAGGCUAUAGGUGUAAAGCUGGUGACAGCAAAGCCGAGUAGUACUAAUUACC
RNAcentral lists this ribosomal RNA (1582 nucleotides) under metagenome. RNAcentral's name for it is "bacterial LSU rRNA". It matches the Rfam family "Bacterial large subunit ribosomal RNA", at positions 1216 to 2909 of the family's 2925-position model. The record is from RNAcentral.